UACGUAGGAUGCAAGCGUUGUCCGGAAUUAUUGGGCGUAAAGAGCGCGCAGGCGGUAUGACAAGUCAGAUGUGAAAGAGGCCGGCUUAACCGGCAAGGGUCAUUUGAAACUGUCAGACUAGAGUGCAGCAGAGGAUAGUGGAAUUCCCGGUGUAGUGGUGAAAUGCGUAGAUAUCGGGAGGAACACCAGUGGCGAAGGCGGGUCUCUGGGCAACAACUGACGCUGAGGAGCGAAAGCGUGGGGAGCGAACAGG
Molecule: ribosomal RNA, 253 nt
Filed under: uncultured bacterium
Lineage: Bacteria
Description: partial 16S ribosomal RNA
Rfam family: Bacterial small subunit ribosomal RNA
Source: RNAcentral